AUCUCACAGUUGCGCUUUGGGUUCUUGUGAUGCUUCUUCUUUUAUUUCAUCUUCUACCUUGCAAUUACCAGAUAAUAAAACUGCAAAUGCUGAUUUGCUUAGAAAUCCAUAUGAUGUUGGUUUUUAUAGAGAAAAGGUGAGAGGUAUGGAAAUUCAUGAAAUUGAAAAACUUGUGAAGAAUGUAUUCGUACCUGAUGAAUGCUAUGAAUUUCCUAAAACUGUUGAUGCAAAUGGUCGAAGUAGGUCCUUUCGACAUGAUUGGCUGAAGGAUUAUCUUUGGCUUUCGUAUUCUCCAAGUCUUAAAGGUGCUUUUUGCUUACUAUUUGUUUUGUUUGGUGAUAGGUUUCCCUCCAAAAACAGUCGAAUUAAAAUAUUUUUUAGAGUCAUUAACACAUUGGCCUGAUGCUAAAAGUGCAAUAAAAAGGCAUAUAAGUACAUCAUCAGGUCUUUCAUGUUCACACUUAGGCUCUUCUUAAGGAUAUCUUGGAUCAGAGCUCCGGUAAAAGCCAGCCAAUAAAUGUCAUGAUUGGCAGUAACUUAAAUAAAAAGACUUCUCCCACACACGAUGCGGUGACGGAUGAUAUUUUGUUUACAUCCGUUCAUCAAAUUGUGCAAGAAAAUGACAUGGAAAGCGGGUCAGAAGAGGAGGAAAUUAGCAAGUCGAUUGAUUUAAUGAUAACCAACUCCGAAAAUGAUGAAGAAGUCUUUUCCGAAAGACAAUCAGAUAUGGAGUUUCUAGAUGACAGUGCUCAAUCCAACAGUGAACUUUCAUUUUACAGACAAGUGGAUCAACAAAUAUAAUGCCAAUGCAGACUAAGGUUGUUUGACACAUUUCUACACUGGACAAGGCUGACGAUGAUUGAACACGAUACGCAGUCAUUUCUAUGUGAUCGGUAUGUACAGAGGGGAAACAGCGACGACAAUUGUGAACUAUGCAAUACAUCAGCAUUAUACAGACAAAUAUGGAAACUAACGUAGAAGGAACCAACACAUAAAAGUUGACAGUUUUUUCUUUCGCUGGUGGAACAAAAUACAUAAACGAUGAAGGCGAUACCAUUGAUUCUGACUGUGACGGUGAUAACGACAAGGAGGGUGAUGAAUGUAAAGACGAAGACGACAGCUGUAAAUGAAACGGUGGUGAUGUUGAUGAUGAGAGUGGUGGUAACAGUGGUAAUAACGACAACAGGGGUGAUGACUUUGAAGUUGAAAAUGAUAUCGCUGAAUGUGGAGGUGUUAAUGACGUUGACGGCGACAACAGCAAAGAUGUAGACGAUAAUAACAGCGACUGUGAUGAAGUUGAAAUGGAGGUUGACAUGUUAAAAAAAAUUAGCGAGGGAUGAACAUAAAACUUUCGGAGGGACGACGGAACGUGCGAUGAUUUACAUGUGGUGGACAUAAUCAACGACGAUGGAAGAGGAGAAAGACUAACGAACGACUGAGGGAAACGAUUUCUUGUGGCUGAUGUACACGAAAAAAGUGGUGUCACAGACGAAAAUGAGUUCACAGGCGUCAAAUACAAAUCUUUUUUUCUGGUUGGACACAGAUCAUACAACACAUUUAACAUUGAGAAAUUUGCAGGACAGGACAGAGGGUUUUCACGUAAAUCAAUGUACAUAAGUCUUGGGUACGCACGAAUAACAUCAAGUUCAUUCACAGCUUUAAUGUUGUUUCGUCUCAACGACAAAAUCCUUAUUCGUGUAUCUUUUACCGUUCCGACAGGAACAUGCUUCAGAUUCAUGUUAGAACAAUCUAACAUAUGAUAUCUCUUCACAUAACCACAUUUUUCACCAUGGGUUGGACAUGCCGCCAUAAAAAACAACAUGCAGACAGCAAGGAAUUCAUUAUGGAAAAUUGGAAAAGUUACAAACAACUCUUGUGAACUAUGAAUGUAGUUACAAAAUGAAUGAACGAUUAAAAGGCAUGCCUAUGCUUGUGAGGAUUUUAAAGUAAAACCAUCAAGUGCUUUUUAAAAUUUUCUGUCAUAAAUAUAUGCUAGAGUAAGACUUGUUCAUAUGUAAUCAAAGAGACUUUGUUGUUUGAUUGAUGUAGAUAAUUAGAAAAAUAUUGCUCAUUGUCCAAUGUAUUCUUAAUGUAUG
Long non-coding RNA from Xenia sp. Carnegie-2017, 2096 nucleotides. RefSeq lists it as uncharacterized. The record is from RefSeq and is a predicted model, not a curated record. Lineage: Eukaryota; Metazoa; Cnidaria; Anthozoa; Malacalcyonacea; Xeniidae. The transcript is spliced from 2 exons.